RNAcentral lists this ribosomal RNA (438 nucleotides) under uncultured bacterium. RNAcentral describes it as "partial 16S ribosomal RNA". It matches the Rfam family "Bacterial small subunit ribosomal RNA", at positions 29 to 507 of the family's 1533-position model. The record is from RNAcentral.
AACGAACGCUGGCGGCAUGCCUAACACAUGCAAGUCGAACGAGACCUUCGGGUCUAGUGGCGCACGGGUGCGUAACGCGUGGGAACCUGCCCUUAGGUUCGGAAUAACUCCCCGAAAGGGGUGCUAAUACCGGAUAAUGUCUUCGGACCAAAGAUUUAUCGCCUUUGGAUGGGCCCGCGUUGGAUUAGCUUGUUGGUAGGGUAAAAGCCUACCAAGGCGACGAUCCAUAGCUGGUCUGAGAGGAUGAUCAGCCACACUGGGACUGGGAUACGGCCCAGACCCCGACGGGAGGGAGCGGUGGGGGAGGGGAAAAUAUGAAAGGGGGCGAGAUGCAGAAACGCCACGGCCGGGAGGGUGGCCAGGGGGUUGGAGUGUUAAAUCUCUUUUACCGGGGAGGGAAAGACGGUAACGGGGAAAUAAGCCCCGGCUAACCACGGG